This 500-nucleotide ribosomal RNA is filed under the name uncultured bacterium. Its description in RNAcentral is "partial 16S ribosomal RNA". It matches the Rfam family "Bacterial small subunit ribosomal RNA", at positions 30 to 523 of the family's 1533-position model. The record is from RNAcentral.
AUUGAACGCUGGCGGAAUGCUUUACACAUGCAAGUCGAACGGCAGCACGGACUUCGGUCUGGUGGCGAGUGGCGAACGGGUGAGUAAUGUAUCGGAACGUGCCCAGUCGUGGGGGAUAACGUAGUGAAAAUUACGCUAAUACCGCAUACGAUCUAUGGAUGCAAGAGGGGGAUCGAAAGACCUCGCGCGAUUGGAGCGGCCGAUAUCAGAUUAGGUAGUUGGUGGGGUAAAUGCCCACCAAGCCAACGAUCUGUAGCUGGUCUGAGAGGGCGACCAGCCACACUGGAACUGAGACACGGUCCAGACUCCUACGGGAGGCAGCAGUGGGGAAUUUUGGACAAUGGGCGAAAGCCUGAUCCAGCCAUUCCGCGUGCAGGAUGAAGGCCCUCGGGUUGUAAACUGCUUUUGUACAGAACGAAAAGGUUUCUACUAAUACUAGGAGCUCAUGACGGUACUGUAAGAAUAAGCACCGGCUAACUACGUGCCAGCCGCCGCCGUAA